GUUACAGUUGGGGGCAUUCGUAUUUCAUAGUCAGAGGUGAAAUUCUUGGAUUUAUGAAUGACGAACAACUGCGAAAGCAUUUGCCAAGGAUGUUAUCAUU
Molecule: ribosomal RNA, 100 nt
Filed under: Brassica napus (rape)
Lineage: Eukaryota; Viridiplantae; Streptophyta; Magnoliopsida; Brassicales; Brassicaceae
Description: rRNA SSU_rRNA_eukarya
Rfam family: Eukaryotic small subunit ribosomal RNA
Source: RNAcentral